This 793-nucleotide ribosomal RNA is filed under the name uncultured bacterium. Its description in RNAcentral is "bacterial SSU rRNA". It matches the Rfam family "Bacterial small subunit ribosomal RNA", at positions 8 to 796 of the family's 1533-position model. The record is from RNAcentral.
AGAGUUUGAUCAUGGCUCAGAUUGAACGCUGGCGGCAUGCUUUACACAUGCAAGUCGAACGGGGUGAGGGGGCAACUCCUCACUCAGUGGCGGACGGGUGAGUAAUGCAUCGGAACGUAUCCCGUAGUGGGGGGACAACCCAGCGAAAGCUGGGCUAAUACCGCAUAUGCUCUACGGAGGAAAGUGGGGGACCUGCAAGGGCCUCACGCUAUGGGAGCGGCCGAUGUCCGAUUAGCUAGUUGGUGGGGUAAAGGCCCACCAAGGCGACGAUCGGUAGCUGGUCUGAGAGGAUGAUCAGCCACACUGGGACUGAGACACGGCCCAGACUCCUACGGGAGGCAGCAGUGGGGAAUUUUGGACAAUGGGGGCAACCCUGAUCCAGCCAUGCCGCGUGCGGGAAGAAGGCCUUCGGGUUGUAAACCGCUUUUGGUCGGGAAGAAAGGGCGCUGGAUAACACCUGGCGCUGUUGACGGUACCGGCAGAAUAAGCACCGGCUAACUACGUGCCAGCAGCCGCGGUAAUACGUAGGGUGCGAGCGUUAAUCGGAAUUACUGGGCGUAAAGCGUGCGCAGGCGGUGAGUUGUGUCUGAUGUGAAAGCCCCGGGCUUAACCUGGGAAUGGCAUUGGAAACUGGCUCGCUGGAGUGUGGCAGAGGGGGGUGGAAUUCCGCGUGUAGCAGUGAAUGCGUAGAGAUGCGGAGGAACACCGAUGGCGAAGGCAGCCCCCUGGGCCAACACUGACGCUCAGGCACGAAAGCGUGGGGAGCAAACAGGAUUAGAUACCCUAGUAGUCC